This 533-nucleotide ribosomal RNA is filed under the name uncultured archaeon. RNAcentral describes it as "bacterial SSU rRNA". It matches the Rfam family "Bacterial small subunit ribosomal RNA", at positions 509 to 1050 of the family's 1533-position model. The record is from RNAcentral.
CAGCCGCCGCGGUAAUACGUAGGGGGCGAGCGUUAUCCGGAUUCAUUGGGCGUAAAGCGCGCGUAGGCCGCCCGCUUGGUCGGGAGUAAAAUCCGGGGGCUCAACCCCCGCCCGCUCCCGAUACCGGCGGGCUUGAGUCUGGCAGGGGAAGGUGGAAUUCCGAGUGUAGCGGUGGAAUGCGCAGAUAUUCGGAAGAACACCGGUGGCGAAGGCGGCCUUCUGGGCCACGACUGACGCUGAGGCGCGAAAGCUAGGGGAGCGAACAGGAUUAGAUACCCUGGUAGUCCUAGCCGUAAACGAUGGUCACUAGGUGUGGGGGGACCCCCUCCGUGCCGCAGCCAACGCAUUAAGUGACCCGCCUGGGGAGUACGGCCGCAAGGCUAAAACUCAAAGGAAUUGACGGGGGCCCGCACAAGCAGCGGAGCAUGUGGCUUAAUUCGAAGCAACGCGAAGAACCUUACCAGGGCUUGACAUCCGGGUGAAGCGGCGGAAACGCCGUGGCCGAGAGGAGCCCAGACAGGUGGUGCAUGGCC